AGUCAGCCUCAACUUCGAAGUUUUGAAGCCAGGCAUUGACUUCUUUCUAGCUAUGAGAGUCCUAGAUGGCAUCUUCUUCCAAUACAAAGCUGUCUCGUCUACACUGAGAAGCUGUU
Molecule: microRNA precursor, 116 nt
Filed under: Loxodonta africana (African savanna elephant)
Lineage: Eukaryota; Metazoa; Chordata; Mammalia; Proboscidea; Elephantidae
Description: miRNA (ENSLAFG00000025242.2)
Source: RNAcentral